AGCCACAGCCAUAUUACCCUGCAGCCCAUAACCUGUUACUCACUGAAGCUAAGCAGGGCUGAGCCUGGUCAGUACCUAGAUGUGAGACCACAUGGAAAAGCUAUGUUGCUGUUGGAA
This is a ribosomal RNA of Danio rerio (zebrafish), 117 nucleotides long. The record is from Ensembl. NCBI's taxonomy places the organism in Eukaryota, Metazoa, Chordata, Actinopteri, Cypriniformes, Danionidae.